GAUGAACGCUGGCGGCGUGCUUAACACAUGCAAGUCGAACGAGAAGUGAAGACGGAAACCUUCGGGCGGAAGGCUUUAUUUCGAGUGGCGGACGGGUGAGUAACGCGUGGGUAACCUGCCUCAUACAGGGGGAUAACAGUUUGAAACGACUGUUAAUACCGCAUAAGACCACAGCACCGCAUGGUGCGGGGGUAAAAACUCCGGUGGUAUGAGAUGGACCCGCGUUCGAUUAGCCAGUUGGCGGGGUAACGGCCCACCAAAGCGACGAUCGAUAGCCGAUCUGAGAAGAUGACCGGCCACAUUGGGACUGAGACACGGCCCAAACUCCUACGGGAGGCAGCAGUGGGGAAUAUUGCACAAUGGGGGAAACCCUGAUGCAGCGGCGCCGCGUGAGUGAAGAAGUAUUUCGGUAUGUAAAGCUCUAUCAGCAGGGAAGAAAAUGACGGUACCUGAGUAAGAAGCCCCGGCUAACUACGUG
This 478-nucleotide ribosomal RNA is filed under the name uncultured bacterium. Its description in RNAcentral is "partial 16S ribosomal RNA". It matches the Rfam family "Bacterial small subunit ribosomal RNA", at positions 28 to 507 of the family's 1533-position model. The record is from RNAcentral.